RNAcentral lists this long non-coding RNA (1061 nucleotides) under Oncorhynchus kisutch (coho salmon). Its description in RNAcentral is "lncRNA (ENSOKIG00005009456.1)". Lineage: Eukaryota; Metazoa; Chordata; Actinopteri; Salmoniformes; Salmonidae. The record is from RNAcentral.
CAGCAAUCUUUGGCACUUUUUCAUGGAAAUCUAUUACAGUAAUGUACUUAAUUUUUAUCCAGAAGUGAUUUGAUAUUUAUAUAAAAAUGGCUGCAUUGGGCCUUUAAGUAGCUACCUUUAGCACGUCUCAGUACCUUAAAACAGUCUUAUGUGUUUGGUUAUACUGUAGUGGCAUGAGUCAUGAUGUCAAUGAUCACUCCUCCUAUACUGUAUGAGUCAUGUCAAGCUGAACAGGAUCAUCUUUUUUCUACACUAACUGUAUGAUGACCUACUACAGUAACUCCUUUUAUGAAAUUACAGACAGUGAUGUAGUCUAAUUGUUAGUGAGUUUUUAGAAUGGCAUAUCUAUAUCUCUGUGCAACUGAUGAGGUUAAAAUGUAGAAUGUUUUCUUAUGCUUGUUAGACAGCCUCUAAUUUCCCAGGACUUGAGCCUGAACCCAGGACUCACUGGAAAACAGUGAACAACAGCGGGACUCUGGCCACCUUCUCUCUUCCUCCACGGAUGACCUACCCAGUCCAGAUCCCUGCAGGGUUCACAACGCAGACAUCCUCUGGCCAGCUUUACAUGGUCAACUUUAUAGUGAUGGUGUCCCAGGUUCCAGCCGGCCACAGCCCUCUCCCAGCUCCAGAAGGGGGUACCUGUAGUGGAGUGGAAAGAUCCCAGCUCAUCUUCCCAGCAGUCAGCUAUAGUGGUCCCUUCUACUGUCCUCAAGACCAUGACCACUCCGAAGACAGAUCUGUUCUCCCCACGACCUGUGGCCCCUCCCACAGCUGUACCUCAGACACCAGAGCAGACCCUGAUACGUCCAGUCCAGGUGAUGCCUCCGGUCCAGCCACCUGAUGAGAAGCCUGUGCUACACAAACCCGUGGUCCAGCCCCCAGUUCAGGAGAACCAUCUCCUUCAGCAGCCAAAGGUUCCUUUAGCUCAGGCACGCUUUUCUGUGCAGACUCCAGUGUCCUUUUAUUUUCGUCCCAACCGCCAUCUCACCCCCCAGAGAGCCCUUUCGACAGUGGUGAUUUCAAUCUGGAUGGGAUUGACUUCGACAGUCCACAGCAGCUAG